UACACUUUAAAUCCUUUAACGAGGAUCUAUUGGAGGGCAAGUCUGGUGCCAGCAGCCGCGGUAAUUCCAGCUCCAAUAGCGUAUAUUAAAGUUGUUGCGGUUAAAAAGCUCGUAGUUGGAUCUCGGUUUCACUCAGGUGGUACACCUUGCGGUGUUCACUAUCUGGGUGGACGUUUCUGUUGGUUCGCUCUUGGUGCUCUUCAUCGGGUGCCAUUUGGUGGCCAGCACGUUUACUUUGAAAAAAUUGGAGUGCUCAAAGCAGGCGUUACAGCCUGAACAUUAGUGCAUGGAAUAAUGGAAUAGGAUCUCGAUUCUAUUUCGUUGGCUUUCGGAGUCGAGGUAAUGAUUAAUAGGGACAGACGGGGGCAUUCGUACUGCGACGUUAGAGGUGAAAUUCUUGGAUCGUCGCAAGACGAACUACUGCGAAAGCAUUUGCCAAGAAUGUUUUCAUUAAUCAAGAACGAAAGUUAGAGGUUCGAAGGCGAUCAGAUACCGCCCUAGUUCUAACCAUAAACGAUGCCAACCGGCGAUCCGUCGUCGUUAAUUGAAUGACUCGACGGGCAGCCUCCGGGAAACCAGAGUGUUUGGGUUCCGGGGGAAGUAUGGUUGCAAAGCUGAAACUUAAAGGAAUUGACGGAAGGGCACCACCAGGAGUGGAGCCUGCGGCUUAAUUUGACAACACGGGAAAUCUCACCAGGCCCGGACACCGGAAGGAUUGACAGAUUGAGAGCUCUUUCUUGAUUCGGUGGGUGGUGGUGCAUGGCCGUUCUUAGUUGGUGGAGCGAUUUGUCUGGUUAAUUCCGAUAACGAACGAGACUCUGGCCUACUAACUAGAAGGUCUAUCCUUUAUGGGUAGGCCUCUGCUUCUUAGAGGGACGGGCGGCGUUUAGCCGCACGAGAAUGAGCAAUAACAGGUCUGUGAUGCCCUUAGAUGUUCUGGGCUGCACGCGCGCUACACUGAAGGAAUCAGCAUGUUCUCCCCUCCCUGAAAAGGGCGGGUAACCCGUUGAAACUCCUUCGUGAUGGGGAUUGGAGAUUGUAAUUAUUCUCCAUGAACGAGGAAUUCCCAGUAGGCGCGAGUCAUCAGCUUGCGUCGAUUACGUCCCUGCCCUUUGUACACACCGCCCGUCGCUACUACCGAUCGAGUGAUUUAGUGAGGACUUCGGACUGGUCUUCAAGUUGGCUUCGGUCGGCUCGAAGUUCCGGAAAGAUGCCCAAACUUGAUCACUUAGA
Molecule: ribosomal RNA, 1233 nt
Filed under: metagenome
Description: SSU rRNA
Rfam family: Eukaryotic small subunit ribosomal RNA
Source: RNAcentral